AGUGAGUGCAGUGGUGUUUACAGUUCGUUGAUCAUAACCACUUACAGAAUUCUUUUGCUCCUUCUCCACUCCCACUGUUUUACUUGACAAGCCUGUA
This 97-nucleotide small RNA is filed under the name Otolemur garnettii (small-eared galago). RNAcentral describes it as "Y RNA (ENSOGAG00000023789.1)". Lineage: Eukaryota; Metazoa; Chordata; Mammalia; Primates; Galagidae. The record is from RNAcentral.